RNAcentral lists this transfer RNA (4064 nucleotides) under Portunus trituberculatus (swimming crab). RNAcentral's name for it is "uncharacterized LOC123511370, transcript variant X1". The stretch from base 1525 to 1596 matches the Rfam family "tRNA". Lineage: Eukaryota; Metazoa; Arthropoda; Malacostraca; Decapoda; Portunidae. The record is from RNAcentral.
AAAUAAAAUAAUCUUUCACUGUACAUAUACAUUUUGCAUUAAACCCAUUUCUAUUAUGCUUAUUAAUGCUUUUAUUAAUAAACUUACAAAGACAUACAAAUGACUAUGAAAAAGGAAAAUGUUUAAACACAAAAUUAUUCCUCUAUUUUGCUACUUCCUCCUCUGAUGUGUCACCAUUGUUGUCAUCUGUCUCCGAUUCUGUUACUUGACUUGGUGUGUGUGGUCUGAAGAAGCUUGUAUAUUGAUUGCCGUGUCCCGCUGGCCAAGAGAGAAAAGAUGCAGCGCAUGGUAGAGAUGGCUGUGCAGGGGAUAGUGGAGCAUUCUGACAGCCCGUGGUUGUCGCCCGUAGUCCUGGUGAACAAGAAGGAUGGCACCAAGCGCUUCUGUGUAGAUUACAGGGCGCUGAAUAACGUCACGGUAUCUCCUAUCCCCUGCCCAGGAUAGACGACACCCAGGAUGCUCUGGUUGGUGUUCAGUGGUUGUCCACUUUUGAUCUUAAAUUGGGAUAUCACCAGGUGAUGUUAGCAAUGGCAGACAAGCAGAAGACAGCGUUCUCCUUUGGGCAGGGAUUGUGGCAAUUCCGGGUGAUGCUGUUCAGGUUGAGCAAUGCCCCUGGGUGCUUUGAGUGGCUGAUGGAGAAGGUGCUGGCAAAGUUGCAGUGGAAGGCAGCUUUAGUGUACCUGGACGAUGUUCUGGUGUUCGCAAGGAAGUUUGAGGAGGAGCUGCAACGUCUAAAGGUGGCACUGGGCCGUCUGCGGGAGGCAAACCUGAAACUGAACCCGAAGAAAUGCACCUUCUUCCAGCAUGAAAUGUCGUUCCUGGGGCAUGUUGUGGGGUGAGGCGGUGUGUGCACGGACCCUAACAAGGUGUUGGCAGUCCCGACGUCAGUGGUGAGCAUGAGAAGCUUCCUUAGCCUGUGCAGCUACUACCGCAGGUUUGUGGAAGGCUUUGCCACCCUUGCUGCUCCCCUGCAUCAGCUGACAAGGAAGAAUGUCCACUUCACCUGGGAUGAAUCUUACCAGGACGCGUUCAGUGGUCUGAAGGCGAUGAUGAUAAGUGCUCCAGUGCUGCCCUUUCCUGAUCCUGGCCUCCCCUUCAUCCUCGACACUGAUGCAGGCACAGAGGGCCUUGGAGCAGUGUUGUCUCAGGUAAAGGAAGAUAAUGAGUAUGUAUUGGCCUAUUACAACUCCAAGUUCAGCAAGCCUGAGCGGGAUUACUGCGUCACCAGGAAGGAGUUGCUGGCUAUUGUGAGGAAUUUGGCCCACUUCCACUAGUACCUUUAUGAAGCUGAGUUUGUCGCAAAAUUGCUCGUGCGACGUUCAGUCCAUUUUGUUAGCGGACCGAGCGUCAAGAGGGUGCAGGUAGUAAAGUUAAGCUGCCUGAGACUCCAGUGCACCACAAUUCCUACCAGGUGGUUGUAAUCCUUUAAUUACUCACACACCACAUGUUCGCUGCAUCUACACUCAUAGACAGCUAUUCUUUUUUCACCAUGUAACUUAUCAUGACACACACACACACACACACGCCCGGUAGCUCAGUGGUUAGAGCGCUGGCUUCACAAGCCAGAGGACCGAGGUUCGAUUCCCCGGCCGGGUGGAGAUAUUUGGGUGUGUGUCCUUUCACGUGUAGCCCCUGUUCACCUAGCAGUGAGUAGGUACGGGAUGUAAAUCGAGGAGUUGUGACCUUGUUGUCCCGGUGUGUGGUGUGUGCCUGGGCCGCGUUCCGUUGGCGUACAGUAUGGCAUACUUCCCCCGAAUCGGGGGGGACCAGCAUACGGCUCGCCUUGCGGAAGCGUGCGGGACCUUGCGCUCCUCGGAGGUGAAUGCUUGGCGGUGUCUGGCAACCUUUGUUUAUCAACAAACUGCAAAGAUGGCCGCCUCUUCACCACUAUGCUUUCAGUGUGGGGGCUGCCAACGCUAUUUUGAUAGCUUAUGCAGUGUUGCCAGAUUGGGCUACUAAUCGCAAAUUGGGCUACUUUCUGAUGUGCUGCGCUACUAAAUUUUGACGUCUGCGACUUGCGACUUUUUGGGCUACUUUGGAAUGUGGUUGGGUUAAUAUAUAUGCUUUCGUCAUAAAGUAGGUACACGUAUUUUCUCUCAAAGAUAUCACUUAGAUAUUUUUUUCAUCUAAUUAAAGAAUAAGUUUCCGAUGUUUGUAUAUACCUCUGGGCAAAGUCAUCGAAAUUAACCCGGUAGCAGCGACGAUCGCAAAACUGAGCGUCCCCUCCAAGCGGCAUUAAUUGGGAAAAAUGCCACCCUCGCAAAUCUCUCUAUAAUAUAUAUGAACGCAUUCUCCAUCAGUUUCUGCACCGUCUAAAAAUAUACAUUUCUCUCAUUGUACUAAAAUUUUUACUAAAUAAUGCAAAAUCAAUUUAAACGCGGUGGCAACUCUUACUCCUAGGAACUGUAAGCUCCCUCUCCAGCCCCAUGUCCCACGCAAGCAUGCCAUACAAGCUAGAUGUCACGCGUUUCUCGUAAAAGCAUCUGAAGAACUUCUUGCUCGUGUCCCACGUAACAUUGCAACCUUGAAACAGAUAAAAAAAAUCUAUCACCAGCAAUAUGUUUGAGCCACACAAGACCUCCAUUUUCUGAGCUUCCAUUAUCUCUGGCUGAACAAGCAAAACUCCCUGAGAUUGAAAACCAGUGGCGAACAGCCUUACAUACUGAUUGGCAUCAAAUAUUUGAAGGUGACAUACCUCAGGAUGGUUCAGUGUUCUGGUCCAAAUCUGCUACAUUAAAAAAUGCAGGUGGAGAACUCAUUAUGAAAGACCUGGCAGAAUUUGCUCUGAAAGUGUAUAGCCUUCCUAUUAGUAAUGCCUUAGUAGAGCGCGUAUUUUCAAAAGUAACUGCAGUUAAAACUAAAGUGAGAAAUCGUAUGGGUUUAGGACUCUUAACUUCCAUUCUACGAAUCAAAACCUCCCUGAAAGAAAAAGGCAUGUGCUGCAAUACAUUUGAGCCUCCAGUGUCCAUGCUGCAUUAUGAUUCAUCUAUAUAUAAGGAUGAAAAAAUAGAGGAGGACGAGGAAAACCUGCUACAAUCAUUGCAGCUGAUCUAAGAAAAUCUCUGGCCUCCUGCUUUUGGUAAGUAUAAUAAUUUAUACUUGAAAUCUUAAAAUCAUUAAUCUGUAACCUUUGAGCUACGCGGGCCGUGUGUGUGUGUGUGUGUGUGUGAACAGGAUUUGGGCUACUUUGUCUGUGAAUUUGCUACUUUUAGGGAACCUUUCUGCUACUUUUGAUGAGUCUCAUCUGGCAACACUGAGCUUAUGCGAUGUCACAGAACAUCAAAAACAAUGCGACGCUCGGGCACCUACCGCCAUGGUAGCUGCUGCUACAGAGGCCCCUCCAGCACCUGUGGCUGAGGGAACAGGCCCGGGCCCUGCCACCAUGGGAGGUAAAGGUUUCUUCUGGCCUAUAAAUGCUGUCCUCCUCCUUAUUGCCACAGUGGGAGAUUUGAAGCAAGAAUUUGCAAAGGGGACCAGAAAGAAGGUGGAGGUGUGGAGGGACGUGGCUCUGAGGAUGCGCCAAGAAGGCUAUCCAGUGAAUGGAGAACUCUGCGAUAAGAAAAUUCGCUCCCUAAAGCAAAGGUAGGUGAAAAUUUACUUUAGCACAAUGUUUCUUAACCUCUUAUGAUCUCAGCACCCCUUUUGGUCAGGCCUAAGCAGUUCAGCACCCUGUACUGAGGGAGUGUGGGCGUCUUGCCGUCUGGUGACAGACAUUAGCACACAACCGAACGUGCACAUUAGUAAUAUACAAAGCUUAUGAUGCUGAUUUAAUAUUAAAGUGUGGAACGCUCGUACAAAUCAAGUGUUUCUUUAAUCAUUAAGGUACAACAAACAAUAAAAUCAGAUUAAAGUUUACCCAUAUUGUAUUUCCAAAUAUGUGAUAAAAAUACGUUUGUCCAGACGUAUUCCUUUUACCUUUUACUGCCACUUAUGUGAUCUUCCCCAACACCCCCUUAAAUUUAUUUCUGCACCCCAGGUUAAGAAACACUGCUUUAGUGGCUUAAAAGUUACUGUGUGUAUUAGUAUGUUGAUUCCACUGUGAUAAACUGGGCAGGUAAUUAAAA